UGGUUGUCCCAGCUUAUCUGAAGCCCCUCAGUGGGGUGAGCUUAGCAGAAGCCUCCAGGGAAUGACUCCCUGGAGCCAGAGUGCCCCAGACAGCCCAGCUCGGGGCUUCAGGGGCCCUGGCCGCCUCCCAGGCACUUAUUUUAUGUUCAGAAAGAGCAAAGCUGACAGUCAGGGGGAUGAGAGCACCAUUAAUUACCCAGGAAGAAAGGGCGCCAUGAGGACACACCCAAUGCUGCUUGGGGACAUCAUCUAUGGUGGCAUUUUCUGAGAGAAGCACCAAGCCUGAAGCUUGGCUGUCACCCCCACCACCCUCUGCCAUCAGCCGGCCAGGCUUUCCUUCUCCCCAGGAGACAGAGGGAUGCUGGCACCCAAGCCUGACGAGACCCACAAAGGAUGUUCCCUGAAGCAGAACCCCCACGGAGGGGUGGCUAAGUCAAUCUCACACUGCAGAAAGUAGGCAGCACUGAGAAAAAUGCCCUCCAAAUGCCUCCCACGCAUUGGCUAGACUCUGCUGCCAGGGGCCCACCCCAACUCUGCCCCAGCCCUAGCCCAGCCCCGCUCUUCAUACACAGGAAGAUCAUGACCCACCUCUGCAGCGCGAGGUGGAAAUGUGUAUACCGACACCGUGGACUUCGAGGUGAAGAUGCAUCGGAUACUUCAGGAUAUGUGGGAUGAUCUCCUGGGUGGAUAGAUUCUUACAUAUGCUUGAGUAGGGGUGAAGAAAAAAGGCUUAGUUUUCAGUCUAUAAUAUUUGAUUUUAUUUUUAAUAAACAAAAUCAUGACAUGCCAUUUUUAUAGACUAAGAAGCAACACAAGAGAACCUUUUCCUCCAAAGUCAGUGCUUCUCCAGGUUGAAUCUUCCUGUGCCUUCGUCAUUCUUGAGCAAGAGCCACUCUCCGAAAGCUCAAACCAGGGGGUGCUGUCAAGGUUUCUCUUC
RNAcentral lists this long non-coding RNA (937 nucleotides) under Homo sapiens (human). Its description in RNAcentral is "HSALNT0154980". The record is from RNAcentral. Lineage: Eukaryota; Metazoa; Chordata; Mammalia; Primates; Hominidae.